Unclassified non-coding RNA from Callithrix jacchus (white-tufted-ear marmoset), 149 nucleotides. It matches the Rfam family "Metazoan signal recognition particle RNA". Rfam says of the family: The signal recognition particle (SRP) is a universally conserved ribonucleoprotein. It is involved in the co-translational targeting of proteins to membranes. NCBI's taxonomy places the organism in Eukaryota, Metazoa, Chordata, Mammalia, Primates, Cebidae. The record is from Ensembl.
GCUGGGCACGGUGGUGCGUGCCUGUAAUCCCAGCUGCUCAGGAGGCGGAGGCAGGAGAAUUGCCUGAACCCAGGAGGCUGAGGUUGCGAUGAGCCGAGAUCGUGCCGUUGCACUCCAGCCUGGGUAACAAGAGCGAGACUCUGCCUCAA